UGUGCUGGCAUGUAUACAGGUGCGUGCUGGCGUGUGUACAGGUGUGUGUGUGUGAGUGUGUGUGUGCUGGCAUGUGUACAGGUGUGUGUGUGUGGGUGUGUGUGUGCUGGCAUGUGUACAGGUGUGUGUGUGAGCGUGUGCUGGCAUGUGUACAGGUGUGUGUGUGAGCGUGUGCUGGCAUGUGUACAGGUGUGUGUGUGAGCGUGUGCUGGCAUGUGUACAGGUGUGUGUGUGAGCGUGUGCUGGCAUGUGUACAGGUGUGUGUGUGAGCGUGUGCUGGCAUGUGUACAGGUGUGUGUGUGAGCGUGUGCUGGCAUGUGUACAGGUGUGUGUGUGAGUGUGUGUGUGCAGAGAACAGC
Long non-coding RNA from Brienomyrus brachyistius, 359 nucleotides. RefSeq lists it as uncharacterized. The transcript has 3 exons. Lineage: Eukaryota; Metazoa; Chordata; Actinopteri; Osteoglossiformes; Mormyridae. The record is from RefSeq and is a predicted model, not a curated record.